GGGGGAAAAAUUAAUAGUUUAUAAAUAAUAAAAAAAAUUUUAAUAUUAAAAAUAUAUGGGGGUUAAAGUAUUUUUAAUAGAAUAAAUUAAAAAUUUUAUAGAGAAAUAGUAUUGUAGAAGAAAUUUGAAAUAUUUUAAAUAAAAAAUUGUUUUAAAGUAAAUUUUAUUUAUUGUAUCUUGUGUAUCAGAGUUUAUUAAAUAUGAAUUUUUAAAAAAAAAAAUCUCGAAUUUAAAAGAGAUAAUUAAUUAAUAAAGUUAAUGUAGCAUAAUUAUUUUUAAUAAUUAAUUUGAAAUGAAAUGUUAAUCGUUUUUAAAUAUAUCUAGUUUUUUUAGAAAAAAAUUUAAUUUUAAAUUUAAAUAAUUUUAUAAUUUAUUUUAUAAUUAUAAAAAAAAUUAAAUUUUAUAUUUUAGGGGAUAAGCUUUAAAUUAAAUAUUUAUAAUUUAAAUAAGUAAAAAUUAAAAUUUUUAAAAUUUAUAUUGUUUAAAAAUUAUAGUUUUUUAUAAAAAAUUUUAUAAAAAAUAAAAUUUAAUAGAAAAAAUUUAAUUUUUUAUAAAAAAAUAUUUUUUAAUUUAUUAAAAUUAGUUAUAAUGAUAAAAUUAGUAUAUUAGUAAUGAAUAAAAUAAAAUUUAAUUAUUUAAAUAAUUUAAAGGAAUUCGGCAAAAAUUUAUAUUCACUUGUUUAUCAAAAACAUGUCUUUUAGAUAAUAAUUUAAAGUCUAAUCUGCCCACUGAUUUUAUAUUAAAGGGCUGCAGUAUAUUGACUGUACAAAGGUAGCAUAAUCAUUAGUCUUUUAAUUGAAGACUUGUAUGAAAGAUUUGAUGAGAUAUAAACUGUCUCUAAAUUAUUAGUAAAAUUUAAUUUUUUAGUUAAAAAGCUAAAAUAAUUUUAAAAGACGAGAAGACCCUAUAGAGUUUUAUAAAUUUAUUAUUUAAGAUUAUAUAUAUAAAUAAAAAUUAAAAUUAAUUAAUUUAUUUUAUUGGGGUGAUAAAAAAAUUAAAUAAACUUUUUUUAAAAAUUAUACAAUAAUAAAUGAUUAAAUGAUCCAUAAAUAAUGAUUAUAAGAAAAAAUUACCUUAGGGAUAACAGCGUAAUAUUUUUUUUUAGUACAAAUAAAAAAAAAAGUUUGCGACCUCGAUGUUGGAUUAAGAUAAAAUUUAAAUGCAAAAGUUUAAAAUUUUGAUCUGUUCGAUCAUUAAAAUCUUACAUGAUCUGAGUUCAAACCGGUGUGAGCCAGGUUGGUUUCUAUCUUUAAAGAAUUAAAAUAUUUUAGUACGAAAGGAUCAAAUAUUUAAAAUAAUUUUAAUAAAUGAAUAUUAUUAAUUAAAAAGAUUAUAAAUUU
Molecule: ribosomal RNA, 1340 nt
Filed under: Libythea myrrha (club beak)
Lineage: Eukaryota; Metazoa; Arthropoda; Insecta; Lepidoptera; Nymphalidae
Description: 16S ribosomal RNA
Source: RNAcentral